AUUGAACGCUAGCGGGAUGCUUUACACAUGCAAGUAGAACGAGUGGCGGACGGGUGAGUAAUAUAUCGAAACGUGCCCAGUAGCGGGGAAUAACUACUCGAAAGCGUGGCUAAUACCGCAUACUAAUGGAGCGGCCGUUAUCGGAUUAGCGAGUUGGUGGGGUAAAGGCUCACAAAGGCAACGAUCCGUAGCGGGUUUGAGAGGACGACCAGCCACACUGGGACGGAGACACGGCCCAGACUCCUCCGGGAGGCAGUGGUGGGGAAUGUUGGAGAAUGGGGGAAACCCUGAUCCAGCCAUCCCGCGUGUAUGAGAAGGCCUUCGGGUUGUAAAGUACUUUUGGCAGAGAAGCGGUAUCUGCAGAAUAAGCACCGGCUAACUACGUGCCAGCCGCCGCGGUAAUAC
Molecule: ribosomal RNA, 405 nt
Filed under: uncultured bacterium
Lineage: Bacteria
Description: partial 16S ribosomal RNA
Rfam family: Bacterial small subunit ribosomal RNA
Source: RNAcentral